ACGGAAGGCAGCAGUGGGGGAUAUUGCACAAUGGAGGAAACUCUGAUGCAGCAACGCCGCGUGAGGGAAGAAGGUCUUCGGAUUGUAAACCUCUGUUUUUGUUGAAGAAACAAAUGACGGUAGCCAAAGAGGAAGCCACGGCUAACUACGUGCCAGCAGCCGCGGUAAUACGUAGGUGGCAAGCGUUGUCCGGAUUUACUGGGUGUAAAGGGUGCGCAGGCGGGACCGCAAGUUGGAUGUGAAAUACCGGAGCGUAACUCCGGAGCUGCAUCCAAAACUGUGGUUCUUGAGUGGAGUAGAGGUAAGCGGAAUGCCGAGUGUAGCGGUGAAAUGCGUAGAUAGUCGGAGGAACACCAGUGGCGAAGGCGGCUUACUGGGCUCUAACUGACGCUGAGGCACGAAAGUGUGGGUAGCAAACAGGAUUAGAUACCCUGGUA
RNAcentral lists this ribosomal RNA (437 nucleotides) under uncultured Clostridium sp. Its description in RNAcentral is "partial 16S ribosomal RNA". It matches the Rfam family "Bacterial small subunit ribosomal RNA", at positions 341 to 792 of the family's 1533-position model. The record is from RNAcentral. Lineage: Bacteria; Bacillati; Bacillota; Clostridia; Eubacteriales; Clostridiaceae.